GCGGAAGCACUGGCCUGGCCCUCGGCACAGACCAGCCCAGGAGCAGAUGAGCGGGGACGUCUGCGUCAUCCACACCUGGCCGUGCACCUACUAUGCGGAGCUCGAGAAGCGAUGGGUGCCAGGAAGACUGUCCUUGACGCCGCAGGCACUCAGAUUCAUGGCUGACAGCACGGGAGAGAUUCUUGUUGGCUUUCCCCUGGCCAGCGUCGCCGAGAUCAAGAAGGAGGCCUCACACUUCAUCUUCAGCUCCCUCACCAUCCUGGAGAAGGGUGGCGCCAAGCACUGGUUCGGCUCCCUGCGGCCAAGUCGGAAUGUGGUCUUCAGCAUCAUCGAGCACUUCUGGAGAGAGCUGUUGCUGUCGCAGCCUGGAGCCAUGGCCGGGGCACCCGCCCCCAGGACCCGGGGGGAGGAGCUCACGGCACUGAUGGCUGGCUCCCAGAGGCGCCUGGAGGACACCGCGAGAGUCCUUCACCACCAGGGCCAGCAGCUGGACGGCGUCAUGAGGGGCCUGGACAAGAUGGAGUCAGACCUGGAGGUGGCUGACAGAUUGCUGACGGAACUGGAAUCUCCUUCUUGGUGGCCCUUCAGCUCUAAGCUUUGGAAGACGCCUCCAGAAACAAAGCCCAGGGAAGGUGCCUUGGCGGCCAGUUGCGAACCUUUUGGAAAGGAAGGGAUAGUGAUCAAAAUUCCUGCUAUUAUUUCCCAAAGGACAGAGUCUCACGUCAAGCCAGGGAGGCUCACCGUCCUUGUCUCUGGGUUAGAAAUCCAUGACUCCGAUUCUUUGCUCAUGCACAGGUUUGAAAGAGAAGACGUGGAUGACAUUAAGGUCUAUUCACCCUAUGAAAUUAGCAUCCGCCAGCGGUUUAUCGGAAAGCCCGAUGUGGCUUAUCGCGUGAUAUCCGCCAAGCUGCCAGUGGUCAUCCCCAUUUUAGAAAUGCAGUUCAGCAAGAAGAUCGAGUUGUUGGAAGAUGCCUUGAUGCUCAGAAGCAUGAAAGCUUCUCCUGCUGCGAAGAAGAGCACCUCGGUCUGGCACUCAGCGUCCGGGCUGAUGGGCUGCACCGUGCACCGAGAGCCGCCCUCGGGGGACCAGGAGAGUGGGCCACCGCAGCUGCAGGUGAGCCAGCCGCUCUUCUCCGAGGGGGAAGCCAAGGAACUGGCCCAGUUGACAAGGACAGGGACUCAGAGAAGAGACUUGGCGCAGAUCCGUGUCCCCAGCCGGUGGACACCGGGGCGGCCUCCUCACGGGACCGGAGUGCGGGGCUGUGUGCGGCGGCGCUUUCCAGCGGAGCACCUCGGAUCGCAGCAGGAUGGGCGCAGACGAAGAGGAACCUGCCACCCCUGUGGAGGGCUGCAGUUUUCUUUCCUUUUCAUUACAGGGCUUGGGCACCAGCCAUGUGAGCUCAUGGGAGAGGGAGGUGGAAAAGACCUACUGUAUGAGGUCACCGGCCCCUCCCCCAGCCACUGACCCCACCGUAUACUUUCCAGAGCCCCAUCCAGUUUUCUAAGUCAUGACUCAACUGAUGGAGUUUCCAUCAGUUCCCGGAGGGUGAGACUCCGGCUCACACCAGGAGUUUAUUCAUCUGUCUCAUGACAAAGAUCACAGCGAGGACUCUGUGUUUGGAAAGAGCGACGUGGCUCUUCUCACCUCCCCUCGCUUUGCCGCGCCCUGGAGUGACCCCAGCCCCCACCCCGUCCACGGAGAGGGGUGGGCUCGGUCGGUGCGGGCUCCUCUGUGCAUGCGGCAGGGCCCACCCCGGCAAGGCCCUUUCCGGUUUUCACAGCUUGUUCGCAUUUGUGAUCUCAUGUGAGCCGCGCGUUCCCAUGGAGGAAGUUGGAUCUGACCGCCCUGCCCUCCCUCCUGGCCACCUCCGCCUUUGUCCUGUUUCUUGUUGCUCAGGCGUCGUCAGGAGGCUGCUGCCCUGCCUGCCACGGGGGAGCGCAGAGAGCCAGGGCGCCAAGCUUCCCGCUGUGCUCAGGGCCCUGCCCUCCACUCACCACUGCCCCUGCCGCAGGGGCCCGCCCGUGGGGACUCGGUACCCAGAGCGCCUCCUGUGGGUGAGUAUUUCAAGUUGUUAAACAAAUCCAGGCUCUGAGCAUGCAGGUGAACCAACGCUUCGCAGUGAGAUUCGGUCAUGGACCCGGCGGGAUCCUACAGAGGAUGAAGGGGCUGGCCCUGGACACCGAGACAGAGCUGGAGAGGCA
RNA transcript from Propithecus coquereli (Coquerel's sifaka), 2202 nucleotides. It is a transcript of the gene named synaptosomal-associated protein, 47kDa, with no coding region annotated. NCBI's taxonomy places the organism in Eukaryota, Metazoa, Chordata, Mammalia, Primates, Indriidae. The transcript is spliced from 7 exons. The record is from RefSeq and is a predicted model, not a curated record.